Molecule: long non-coding RNA, 750 nt
Organism: Humulus lupulus (European hop)
Lineage: Eukaryota; Viridiplantae; Streptophyta; Magnoliopsida; Rosales; Cannabaceae
Exons: 2
Source: RefSeq, a predicted model, not a curated record
CAGGGCCUGUUUAACAAAAAAAUACAACAAACAUGUUACUCCCCAUAUGAAGUCAUUGAAAUUUUUGAGUUAUCUUUGGAUGUUAGCUUCUCACAAGUGGUCCUUACCGUUGGUUUGAUGCUUGGCAUUUUCGCACUAAGCUUGCUUCUUAUCUACCACAGAAAAUUCAAUGAAGAUCAAGGAUCAUCAUAAAGAGAGGCCUCUUGCCACCAAACUGACCCUUUUCCUUCUAAAAUUCCAUUCCCUUGAACUGUGAUUCCUCUUAGCUUUGAGAAUAAAAGCCAUUGGAAUAGACCUUUUCCCCAUGCUUUGGGGUCUGUUGGGGCUAUGAUUGUGCCAUCCAGCUAUGGAAAGAAAGAAAAGAGAGUAAUAUUAAGUAGUUAGACUAAUGAUAUUUAGCACACAGGUAUGGCAUUGAGAUCAUUUUUAUCACCGAGUGGAUUCUCUUUUUGAACCACUAAUUUACCUGAAAGACAAUGUUGGGCUCACAAUAUGGGCCAGAAAAUUCGAUGGGCCCAACAAAGAAUUCAUAUUUAGCAGGCACAAGGAGUGUUGAUGCCUCGACCUUACAAGCAGCUGCCCAUGCAGCUUGGAAUGCCUGCAUAGUACCAUAGCAAAUUAUUGUUACUGUGUUCAUUACGAAAUUAAUGCCAAUUAUUGGUGUUAAUUUACACAAAAGACAUAUAUAACUGUAUACAAUUAUUGUUGGAAUCUUGAUCCAACUGCUGUAACGAGAAUCAUUUCACUGUG